CACGUAGGGUGCGAGCGUUGUCCGGAAUUAUUGGGCGUAAAGAGCUCGUAGGCGGUGUGUCACGUCGGCCGUGAAAACCUGCAGCUUAACUGUGGGCGUGCGGUCGAUACGGGCAUCACUGGAGUUCGGCAGGGGAGACUGGAAUUCCUGGUGUAGCGGUGAAAUGCGCAGAUAUCAGGAAGAACACCAAUGGCGAAGGCAGCUCUCUGGUACGUGACUGACGCUGAGACGCGAAAGCGUGGGGAGCGAACAGG
This 254-nucleotide ribosomal RNA is filed under the name uncultured bacterium. Its description in RNAcentral is "partial 16S ribosomal RNA". It matches the Rfam family "Bacterial small subunit ribosomal RNA", at positions 524 to 776 of the family's 1533-position model. The record is from RNAcentral.